This 371-nucleotide ribosomal RNA is filed under the name uncultured organism. Its description in RNAcentral is "bacterial SSU rRNA". It matches the Rfam family "Bacterial small subunit ribosomal RNA", at positions 526 to 896 of the family's 1533-position model. The record is from RNAcentral.
CGUAGGGUGCGAGCGUUAAUCGGAAUUACUGGGCGUAAAGCGUGCGCAGGCGGUUUGUUAAGAUAGGCGUGAAAUCCCCGGGCUCAACCUGGGAACUGCGCUUAUGACUGGCAAGCUAGAGUACGGCAGAGGGGGUGGAAUUCCACGUGUAGCAGUGAAAUGCGUAGAGAUGUGGAGGAACACCAAUGGCGAAGGCAGCCCCCUGGGUCGAUACUGACGCUCAUGCACGAAAGCGUGGGUAGCAAACAGGAUUAGAUACCCUGGUAGUCCACGCCCUAAACGAUGUCAACUAGGUGUUGGAUGGGUAAAACCAUUUAGUACCGAAGCUAACGCGUGAAGUUGACCGCCUGGGGAGUACGGCCGCAAGGUUA